Molecule: ribosomal RNA, 497 nt
Filed under: uncultured bacterium
Lineage: Bacteria
Description: partial 16S ribosomal RNA
Rfam family: Bacterial small subunit ribosomal RNA
Source: RNAcentral
GACGAACGCUGGCGGCGUGCCUAAUACAUGCAAGUUGAGCGCUGAAGGUUGGUACUUGUACCAACUGGAUGAGCAGCGAACGGGUGAGUAACGCGUGGGGAAUCUGCCUUUGAGCGGGGGACAACAUUUGGAAACGAAUGCUAAUACCGCAUAAAAACUUUAAACACAAGUUUUAAGUUUGAAAGAUGCAAUUGCAUCACUCAAAGAUGAUCCCGCGUUGUAUUAGCUAGUUGGUGAGGUAAAGGCUCACCAAGGCGAUGAUACAUAGCCGACCUGAGAGGGUGAUAGGCCACAUUGGGACUGAGACACGGCCCAAACUCCUACGGGAGGCAGCAGUAGGGAAUCUUCGGCAAUGGACGAAAGUCUGACCGAGCAACGCCGCGUGAGUGAAGAAGGUUUUCGGAUCGUAAAAAUCUGUUGGUAGAGAAGAACGUUGGUGAGAGUGGAAAGCUCAUCAAGUGACGGUAACUACCCAGAAAGGGACGGCUAACUACGUG